UCUGAGCCCGCGCCUGUGAGGCGGAUGCGGCCCUUCCUGGAGCUGAACCGGAGCCAUCGGAGCCCCGGUGCAGGGCUGGAGGGGGAAAGCGCAGGCGAGGGAGUAAAAACACCAAAGCACCAGGGUGGUCCCGGCUUCUCACCUGGUGGGAGGCUGUCGAGAUCCUGACAGUCUACUCUGUCAUGCCUUUUACUUGACAAUUGGAGGAUACUGAAAAGCAAACAAGCAAACGCCCUUGAGGCCUGGCAAAGAGGAAGCACACUCGGUGCUACCCAUUGCACACAUACCACUGUAGGUGUAUCCAGGCAGCCCAGCUUUGGGGUCAUUGGUUCAAGCAACGAUCCCUUGGGACACAACCUAAUGUACCUGGGCACCAGGACAGAUACCACAAAUUCCUUCAUUGUUAUUGUUAUCAUGUUA
Long non-coding RNA from Myotis brandtii (Brandt's bat), 420 nucleotides. RefSeq lists it as uncharacterized. The transcript is spliced from 3 exons. Lineage: Eukaryota; Metazoa; Chordata; Mammalia; Chiroptera; Vespertilionidae. The record is from RefSeq and is a predicted model, not a curated record.